RNA transcript from Fragaria vesca subsp. vesca, 2309 nucleotides. RefSeq lists it as uncharacterized. NCBI's taxonomy places the organism in Eukaryota, Viridiplantae, Streptophyta, Magnoliopsida, Rosales, Rosaceae. The transcript is spliced from 6 exons. The record is from RefSeq and is a predicted model, not a curated record.
AACUUUGGGUGCAGGAGCAGGUAGUUUUACUCCUGGUGCAGGAGCUGGUGCAACUUUGGGUGCAGGAGCAGGUGGUUUCACUCGUGGUGCAGGAGCUGGUGCAUUCCCUCGGGGAGUCGUCUGGAAUACACCGGGAGUAAUCGAGCCAGACGGCGCCGUCCAAGCCGACCGUCAAGCCGAGUAAAAAAUCGAAAAAGUGACUGAGGGGCAGGGUUGUCAAUUCCGUGGUAAAAGGACGCAGAAACGAGGAGAAAUAAGGAGAUGAAAGUGAGGGUUUAGAGGCACAAUAUGAGAUCGAAUGAGAGGUGAGGCGAGAGAAAAGAGUUUGUAUCAGGUUGAAACCUUUCUUCAAUUCCUGGGUGUUGAAGCCCGGAUUCAAUCGGAUGGGUAAUUCUCAGAUCGAAUCUCCUCCUCGGUUUCUGAGUCUGUGUUCAUUUGUUGCUCCUGAUAACUUUUUUGAAUUUCAAUUUUCCUUUCUUGGAGUAUCUGGGAUUGGGUCUGGUAAGGUUUUUAGGUUCUCAGCGAGGAGGAACGCGCUGCUGAGAACAAAAUGGACAGGGAGAGACUGGAGAAGGAGAAGCUGAAGCAGAAGGCUGCCAAAGAAAGUAAUUGCUGAUAAGAUAUGCUACCUGGUUUAUAGCUAGGACAGGAGAAAAUGUCAAAAAUUGAUCUAUCCUCCUUCUUGAUACUUAUGCAAGAUGAAGAGGUGGAAGUGAAUACAAAUAGGAGAAGGCUUUCUGCCCUCCAUAAAGGGUUGAAGGCAAACCCUGUUUGGAAUACGUGCAUCACCUCAUUUUCUCUUGGUUUCAUGAGUUCACAGUAGAGCGCAGCAAGAAGAACGGUGAAGAUAACUAGAUAAGACUUUUAUAGAAUUUGAAGAAUUGAGUGUUGCUUAUGCAAAAGGUGAGGUGCAUCCUGGCGACGUCAAACCGUCUUUGGCAAAAGCAUCGAAUAGGAUACUGGAGGUAGGUUCAUAUGUUCAUGUCAUAUGUGUUCAAUUUUUUUACAGCCAAUGGGAUGUUCAUUCUUUUAUGUGUAAAUCUUGGUUGUUUGGCAACAUGGAUAAGUUUGAAAUUUGUUGCUUAAUGAAUCAGUUAAUGCACCACGAUGAAGUGAAUCAUUGACUUAAGCUUAUAGCAUAGGUUUAAUACCUUCAGUAUCUCACGUCUCAUGCUUCCAAGCCUAAAAAAUGUUAUAGUAGAAGCUCAUGGGUGAGCAGAUGAUCUGAUUCAUUAGGAUUAGUUUACCUGAUUAUCCCUAACCCUAAGAUAUAUGGUCUAGUGGAAAGCUAAGAACUAAACCCCAGAAAAUUGUUUUGGGUGAAUGUGGUUGAGACCAUAGUGUCAUGAGUUCUCUGCCUAUUUUCUUUGCUCAGAGUUUGCUUACAUAUUGUUUCUGACUCUCAUUUUAUUCAGGUUUGGGUUUUGGUACGAUUAUGUAUAUUUGAUUCUGGACUCUGUUUUCAGUUCCUUGCUUGCUCAAUGUUCAGCCAUUUACUGGUAUCUGCUGCCAAAGUUACUUGCUUCAACUAGUCAAUAUCUGUUAUCAUGUUCUUGGGCUGUGAUAGUCUCUUAUAUUUAUCACAACCCAAAAACAUGACAAUAGAUCGUCGUUUACUAAAUCGUAAACUAGUCACAUGAAUCGUACAGAUUUACUAGUUGUCAUUUUUUUUGUUUAUAACCUGGAUCUUUGGGGUUUUUUUUAUCCCACCGUGCAGCUUAAGAAAGAGGUGUCAGAGCUGACCCUGCAACGAGACCUUGCUCAGUCUCAGGUUAAGGAUCUGGUGCAAGUGCUUGGAGAUGAUAAACUAUCACCAUUUUUUCAAUGUGAUCUUCAUGGUUACAUUAUCCAAAAGCAAAUAGACCUAAGCAAAGCUCACCAGCUGAGGUUGUAAAUAAUUGUCAAUGUAUUUGAAAUGGACAUUGAUGUUGAUGAGUUACUUGCUUCAAAUGGAAAGAGCGUCAACUGAUCAUAGAAUAGAGGCGGUGACCCAUUGUAUUUGAAAAAUACAUUAUUAUAGGAAGCAUGCCCAAAAAAAAAACCUGGUGUGAAAUCGAAAUUGUGGGUGAGUUCCUUGUAGAAAUCAUGUAAAUUGUGGGAGUUGCUUCCGUUUGUAAAUUGACGGAAAAAAAAAAUUGAAAUUUCUCAACACAAGAAAGACCAUUAUAUUAACGGUAGGAAUGAAAGUAACAAGUUGCUUUUAAUAGGGAUACUUGCUUUAUAGCAGUUGGUAGAAAUUUCUUAAUGAAAUGUGCAUGAAAUAAAAGCUUAGAUAACUGACAUAUACUUGUAAUGAGCUAAGACUACCC